This 263-nucleotide ribosomal RNA is filed under the name Salmonella enterica subsp. enterica serovar Muenchen. Its description in RNAcentral is "partial 16S ribosomal RNA". It matches the Rfam family "Bacterial small subunit ribosomal RNA", at positions 1 to 260 of the family's 1533-position model. Lineage: Bacteria; Pseudomonadati; Pseudomonadota; Gammaproteobacteria; Enterobacterales; Enterobacteriaceae. The record is from RNAcentral. RNAcentral also lists the same sequence under 11 other names.
AAAUUGAAGAGUUUGAUCAUGGCUCAGAUUGAACGCUGGCGGCAGGCCUAACACAUGCAAGUCGAACGGUAACAGGAAGCAGCUUGCUGCUUCGCUGACGAGUGGCGGACGGGUGAGUAAUGUCUGGGAAACUGCCUGAUGGAGGGGGAUAACUACUGGAAACGGUGGCUAAUACCGCAUAACGUCGCAAGACCAAAGAGGGGGACCUUCGGGCCUCUUGCCAUCAGAUGUGCCCAGAUGGGAUUAGCUAGUUGGUGAGGUAA